AUGGCCACAACUCCACCAUCUUCCACGAGCUACCUGCUCAUCAUCCUAGCCCUAGCCCUAGCACUAGCAGCCUCUGCCGUCGCUGCUGCAAGUGGAAACGGGAGCUGCAUCCCGGCAGAGAGGGCGGCGCUGCUCGCAUUCAAGGCCGCCAUCACAAGCGACCCGGCGAACCUCCUCGGCUCGUGGCAUCAUGGCCACGACUGCUGCCAAUGGGGCGGCGUGAGGUGCCACAGCCGGACAGGCCACGUCGUCAAGCUCGACCUCCACAACGAAUUCGUCGAACAAGAUUACGCUUCUUUUUGGUUCCCUGGUAACCAUUCGCUGCAUGGCCAGAUAAGUUCUUCGCUGCUCGCUCUGCCCCAUCUCAAGCAUCUGAACCUUAGCGGGAACAUGGUUCUCGGAGAUGGAAGGCCUAUACCAGAGUUCAUGGGUUCCCUCCGGAGAUUGACACACCUUGACCUAUCUUCCUUGAAUUUCAGUGGUAGACUGCCUCCUCAGCUAGGCAACCUAUCCAAACUCGUGUAUCUUGACAUAAACUGUGGUAGGACCUCUGAUAUGAUGACAUACUCAAUGGAUAUUUCUUGGUUAGCCCGUCUCCCCUCACUCAAGCAUCUCGACAUGGGCGGUGUGAACCUUAGCGCAGCGGUACACUGGGUUCACACACUAAACAAGCUUCCGAACCUGGUUGUGUUGGAACUCAAUUAUUGUGGCCUUAAUGAUUAUAGUGGGAGUACGUCUCUCCUACUCCAUAACCUCACGCUUCUUGAGGAACUUGAUCUCUCAAACAACCAUUUAAACAGUCCAGCUGUAAAGAAUUGGCUUUGGGGUUUAACAAGCCUCAAAAGCCUAAUCAUAUACGGUGCUGAAUUAGGGGGAGCUUUUCCUCCCGAGUUGGGAAACUUGACCUUAUUAGAGACCCUUGACCUGUCAUUCAACCACAUCAAAGGGAUGAUACCGGCGACUCUGAAAAAGGUGUGUAACUUGAGAUAUCUAGACCUCGAAGUGAACAACAUUGAUGGGGACAUAUCAGAACUAAUUCAAAGGCUACCAAAUUGUUCUUCUAAGAAUCUGCAAGUCCAGACUUUGGGAGAGACCAACAUCACAGGGACAACUUUACAAUCACUUGUAAACCUAUCCAGCUUAAACACGCUUGAACUUGGUUUCAACCACUUGAGAGGUUCUGUGCCCGUGGAGAUUGGGACACUUACAAAUUUGACCAACUUGUCCCUUAAGUUUAACAAACUUACUGGUGUGAUAUCUGAGGAUCAUUUUUCUGGUCUGACGAAUUUAAAACAAAUUGACUUGUCUUAUAAUAAUGGUUUGGCAGUCAUCGUGGGUUCGGACUGGGAACCUCCCUUCAACUUGCAAUUGACAAGGCUUGCAUCUUGUCAUUUGGGCCCCCAGUUCCCUAAAUGGCUGCGAUCGCAAAAAGGCAUUGUACUUCUUGAUAUUUCAAACGCAGGUAUCACAGAUAGGAUCCCAUAUUGGUUCUGGACUACCUUUUCGGAUGCCCAGUUUUUAAAUGUCUCAUUUAACCAAAUUAGUGGUGAGCUGCCACCUAAUUUGGACUUCAUGUCAAUGGAAGUACUUUUUCUCCAGUCAAAUCAUCUAACUGGUUUGGUACCACAAUUACCAAGAACAAUUGUAUUCUUGGACAUCUCCAGAAAUUGUUCAAGUGGGUUUGUGCCAUCAAAUUCACAAGCUCCAUCUUUAGAGGCUGUCGUUCUCUUUUCCAACUGUAUAAUUGGGGCUAUUCCAAGGUCAUUUUGUCAGUGGUCAAAUCUGCGGCUCUUAGAUCUUUCAAACAAUCAGCUUGUAGGGCAACUUCCCGACUGUGGCAGAAAAGAAACGAGACGAUGGCAUAACACAAGCAACAACAUUUCAAGGGUCAGAAUCACAAGCCAUUUCGGUUUGGAAGUCCGUACUCUCCUUGUAAGCAACAAUAGUCUUUCAGGUGGAUUCCCUUCACUCCUACGACGGUGCCGAAAUCUUCUUUUCCUCGACCUAGCUCAAAAUAAAUUGAGUGGAGAGCUACCUGCAUGGAUUAGUGAUCGAAUGGCAGCUUUGAUCAUGCUACGCUUAAGAUCGAACAACUUCUCAGGUCACGUUCCAAUUGAAAUAACCGGACUUCUUGCUCUUCGCAUCCUUGACCUAGCUAAUAACACCUUUUAUGGGGAUAUUCCACAAAGUUUAGUGAAUUUCAAAGCUUUGACUGCCAUUAAUGAAGCUGUAGAUCCAGAAAACAAUCCUUUCACAGAAGAAUAUAUUGGGGCGACGUCGUACGACAAUAUGGGGCUGACUGGGGAUAGUUUAUCAGUUGUCAUAAAAGGCCAAGUGCUUGCCUACAGGGAGAAUAGUGUAUAUUUGAUGAGUAUUGAUUUAUCCUGCAACAGUUUUACUGGACAAAUCCCAGAAGAUAUUAGCUCUCUUGUUGGACUCAUAAACCUGAAUUUGUCAUCAAACUUCUUGAGCGGAAAUAUCCCAUACAAGAUUGGAAAUCUGCAAGCACUCGAGUCUCUUGAUCUCUCAAAGAACCAGCUUUCUGGCGAAAUUCCGCUGGGCUUAUCAAAUUUGACAUCAUUGAGCUAUAUGAACUUGUCAUAUAAUGGUCUAUCAGGUAGAAUACCAUUGGGGCGUCAACUAGAUACCCUUAAAACAGAUGAUCCAGCUUCUAUGUACAUUGGCAACCCUGCUCUUUGUGGACGUCCCCUUCCAAAGCAAUGUCUUGGAGAUGAACCAACUCAAGGAGAUUCAGUAAGAUGGGAUAAAGAUGGUCAAUCUCAAAUGGAUAUUUUGUUUAGCCUGAUUGUGGGGUUUGUGGUAGGCCUCUGGAUGGUAAUUUGUGGCCUUGUGUUCAUGAAGAAAUGGAGGUACACUUAUUUCAGGUUACUUGAUAAGUUAUCUGACAAGGUCUAUGUCAUCUCUGUUGUUACUUGGCACAAAUGGUCCAGAAACAUUGGCGAAAAUUAA
RNAcentral lists this ribosomal RNA (2970 nucleotides) under Triticum aestivum (bread wheat). RNAcentral describes it as "partial small subunit ribosomal RNA". The record is from RNAcentral. Lineage: Eukaryota; Viridiplantae; Streptophyta; Magnoliopsida; Poales; Poaceae.